RNAcentral lists this long non-coding RNA (449 nucleotides) under Homo sapiens (human). Its description in RNAcentral is "HSALNT0056912". The record is from RNAcentral. Lineage: Eukaryota; Metazoa; Chordata; Mammalia; Primates; Hominidae.
AUUGUGAACUCAUUGUUGGUUGGUUGGUGUUGGUUUACAUCUUGAAAUCAGUAAAUAAUCCUUGGGCUGAAACUUAUGAUCUUUGAGAGUUCACAGAAUGAAUUUCAAAAACCAGAUGAGUUUUGCUGGGUGUUUCAAGAUGGCCAAACAGGAACAGCUCCAGUCUACAGCUCCCAGCGUGAUCAAUGCAGAAGAAAGGUGAUUUCUGCAUUUCCAACUGGGGUACUUGGUUCAUCUCAUUGGGACUGGUUGGACAGUGGGUGCAGCCCACAAAGGGUUAUCCUCGAUACUUGGAUAAUGUCCAUAUAUGGUGCUGAUUUUGGCCAUGUAACUUUAUUUUAUGUUAUGGUGAGUAGAUUAAAUCUCUGAAAUUUUAGGCUUUGUCAUGUCACUUGCUUUAAUCAAAUAAAUAUUUACUGGUGUGACACAAGCAAACACCUGAAGCUUAC